AGAAUCAACGCUGGCGGCGUGCCUCAGACAUGCAAGUCGAACGAUUAAAGCUCUCUUCGGAGAGUGUAUAGAGUGGCGCACGGGUGAGUAACACGUAAGUAAUCUACCUUUGAGUGGGGGAAUAACGUCCGGAAACGGACGCUAAUACCGCAUAAUGCAGCGGCAUCGCAAGAUGACAGUUGUUAAAGAUUUAUCGCUUGAAGAGGAGCUUGCGGCAGAUUAGCUUGUUGGUAAGGUAAUGGCUUACCAAGGCUACGAUCUGUAACCGGUCUAAGAGACGGUCGGUCACACUGACACUGAACAACGGGUCAGACUCCUACGGAGGCAGCAGUCGGGAAUUUUGGGCAAGU
RNAcentral lists this ribosomal RNA (350 nucleotides) under uncultured soil bacterium. RNAcentral's name for it is "bacterial SSU rRNA". It matches the Rfam family "Bacterial small subunit ribosomal RNA", at positions 26 to 373 of the family's 1533-position model. The record is from RNAcentral.